GAUGAACGCUGGCGGCGUGCCUAACACAUGCAAGUCGAACGGAGAUUACGGACGGAAGUUUUCGGAUGGAAGCCUGUAAUUCUUAGUGGCGGACGGGUGAGUAACGCGUGGGCAACCUGCCCUAUACAGGGGGAUAGCAGCUGGAAACGGCUGGUAAGACCGCAUAAGUCGGUUAAAUCGCAUGAUUUGAUCGGGAAAUGAGCAAUCAGGUAUAGGAUGGGCCCGCGUCCGAUUAGCCAGUUGGCAGGGUAAAAGCCUACCAAAGCGACGAUCGGUAGCCGGACUGAGAGGUCGGACGGCCACAUUGGGACUGAGACACAGCCCAAACUCCUACGGGAGGCAGCAGUGGGGGAUAUUGCACAAUGGAGGAAACUCUGAUGCAGCGACGCCGCGUGAGUGAAGAAGUAUGUCGGUAUGUAAAGCUCUAUCAGCAGGGAAGAUGAUGACGGUACCUGACUAAGAAGCCCCGGCUAACUACGUG
Molecule: ribosomal RNA, 481 nt
Filed under: uncultured bacterium
Lineage: Bacteria
Description: partial 16S ribosomal RNA
Rfam family: Bacterial small subunit ribosomal RNA
Source: RNAcentral